GCGGGCGUAACUCAGUUGGUAGAGUGUUAGCUUCCCAAGCUAAAUGUCGAGGGUUCGAGUCCCUUCGCCCGCU
RNAcentral lists this transfer RNA (73 nucleotides) under Planctomyces sp. SCGC AG-212-M04. It matches the Rfam family "tRNA". From Rfam's summary of the family: Transfer RNA (tRNA) molecules are approximately 80 nucleotides in length. Their secondary structure includes four short double-helical elements and three loops (D, anti-codon, and T loops). The record is from Rfam by way of RNAcentral. RNAcentral also lists the same sequence under 3 other names. Lineage: Bacteria; Pseudomonadati; Planctomycetota; Planctomycetia; Planctomycetales; Planctomycetaceae.